RNAcentral lists this unclassified non-coding RNA (344 nucleotides) under soil metagenome. RNAcentral's name for it is "partial contains 5.8S ribosomal RNA, internal transcribed spacer 2, and large subunit ribosomal RNA". The stretch from base 1 to 120 matches the Rfam family "5.8S ribosomal RNA", at positions 35 to 154 of the family's 154-position model. The record is from RNAcentral.
GAUGAAGAACGCAGCGAAAUGCGAUACGUAAUGUGAAUUGCAGAAUUCAGUGAAUCAUCGAGUCUUUGAACGCACAUUGCGCCCUCUGGUAUUCCGGAGGGCAUGCCUGUCCGAGCGUCAUUGCUGCCCUCAAGCACGGCUUGUGUGUUGGGCCCCGCCCCCCGAUCCCGGGGGGCGGGCCCGAAAGGCAGCGGCGGCACCGCGUCCGGUCCUCGAGCGUAUGGGGCUUUGUCACCCGCUCUGUAGGCCCGGCCGGCGCCUGCCGAUCAACCAAACUUUUUUCCAGGUUGACCUCGGAUCAGGUAGGGAUACCCGCUGAACUUAAGCAUAUCAAUAGCGGAGGA